AGUGAACGCUGGCGGCAGGCCUAACACAUGCAAGUCGAGCGGCAGCGCGGGGGCAACCCUGGCGUCGAGCGGCGGACGGGUGAGGAAUUCGUCGGAAUCUGCCUUUUUGUGGGGGAUAACGUAGGGAAACUUACGCUAAUACCGCAUACGUCCUACGGGAGAAAGUGGGGGACCGCAAGGCCUCACGCAGAAAGAUGAGCCGACGACCGAUUAGCUAGUUGGUGGGGUAAAGGCCCACCAAGGCGACGAUCGGUAGCUGGUCUGAGAGGAUGAUCAGCCACACUGGAACUGAGACACGGCCCAGACUCCUACGGGAGGCAGCAGUGGGGAAUAUUGGACAAUGGGCGCAAGCCUGAUCCAGCCAUGCCGCGUGUGUGAAGAAGGCCUUCGGGUUGUAAAGCACUUUUGUCCGGAAAGAAAUCCCUGGAGCUAAUACCUUCGGGGGAUGACGGUACCGGAAGAAUAAGCACCGGCUAACUUCGUG
RNAcentral lists this ribosomal RNA (484 nucleotides) under uncultured bacterium. RNAcentral's name for it is "partial 16S ribosomal RNA". It matches the Rfam family "Bacterial small subunit ribosomal RNA", at positions 29 to 507 of the family's 1533-position model. The record is from RNAcentral.